RNAcentral lists this ribosomal RNA (253 nucleotides) under uncultured bacterium. RNAcentral's name for it is "partial 16S ribosomal RNA". It matches the Rfam family "Bacterial small subunit ribosomal RNA", at positions 524 to 776 of the family's 1533-position model. The record is from RNAcentral.
UACGUAGGGGGCAAGCGUUGUCCGGAAUUAUUGGGCGUAAAGAGCGUGUAGGCGGCCCGGUAAGUCCGCUGUAAAAGUCCAGGGCUCAACCCUGGAAAGCCGGUGGAUACUGUCGGGCUAGAGUCCGGAAGAGGCGAGUGGAAUUCCUGGUGUAGCGGUGGAAUGCGCAGAUAUCAGGAGGAACACCGAUGGCGAAGGCAGCUCGCUGGGACGGUACUGACGCUGAGGCGCGAAAGCGUGGGGAGCGAACAGG